Molecule: ribosomal RNA, 468 nt
Filed under: uncultured bacterium
Lineage: Bacteria
Description: partial 16S ribosomal RNA
Rfam family: Bacterial small subunit ribosomal RNA
Source: RNAcentral
GACGAACGCUGGCGGCGUGCUUAACACAUGCAAGUCGAACGGAAAGGCCCUGCUUUUGUGGGGUGCUCGAGUGGCGAACGGGUGAGUAACACGUGAGUAACCUGCCCUAGACUUUGGGAUAACUUCAGGAAACUGGGGCUAAUACCGGAUAGGAGCUCCUGCUGCAUGGUGGGGGUUGGAAAGUUUCGGCGGUUGGGGAUGGACGCGCGGCUUAUGAGCUUGUUGGUGGGGGAGUGGCAUACCAAGGCUUUGACGGGUAGCCGGCCUGAGAGGGUGACCGGCCACAUUGGGACUGCGAUACGGCCCAGACUCCUACGGUAGGCAGCAGUGGGGAAUAUUGCCCAAUGGGCGCGAGCCUGAUGCAGCGACGCCGCGUGCGGGAUGACGGCCUUCGGGUUGUGAACCGCUUUCGCCUGUGACGACGCGUGAGUGACGGUAAUGGGUGAAGAAGCACCGGCUAACUACGUG